CCUACGGGUGGCAGCAGUGGGGAAUAUUGCACAAUGGGGGAAACCCUGAUGCAGCAACGCCGCGUGGGUGAAGGAGCGUUUCGGCGCGUAAAGCCCUGUCAGCGGGGAAGAAGAAAGACGGUACCCGACCAAGAAGCCCCGGCUAACUACGUGCCAGCAGCCGCGGUAAUACGUAGGGGGCGAGCGUUAUCCGGAAUUACUGGGUGUAAAGGGAGCGUAGACGGCGAGGUAAGCCUGAAGUGGAAGCCCGCGGCCCAACCGCGGAACUGCUUUGGGAACUGUUUUGCUGGAGUAUGGGAGGGGUAAGCGGAAUUCCUGGUGUAGCGGUGAAAUGCAUAGAUAUCACACAGAACACCGAUUGCGAAGGCAUCUCACGAAUCCGCGAUUGACGCUGAUGCACGAAAGCGUGGGUAUCAAACAGGAUUAGAUACCCGGGUAGUC
This 441-nucleotide ribosomal RNA is filed under the name uncultured bacterium. RNAcentral's name for it is "partial 16S ribosomal RNA". It matches the Rfam family "Bacterial small subunit ribosomal RNA", at positions 338 to 795 of the family's 1533-position model. The record is from RNAcentral.